AACAUAAUAAGUUAAUAAUUGAAAUUGAAAUUGAAAUAAUAAGUUAAUACAUGACAUUGCAAAAACCCUAAUCCUUACUCUUUCGCCGCAACUUCUUCCUCAUCGCCUCUUCGUCACCGUCUAGUGUCUUCCUCAGAGCUGAGAGUCUCACCUUCUUUCCUCCGCCUCCACCGCCUGACUUACUGUCUCACUGAACUUCUUUCCUCCGCCUCCGACUCAGCUUACUCUCUCUCACUCUCGGUUUCACCUAAUAACUCCUUUUUCCCUCCGCUGCAGCAUUCUUCCCUAUCUGACUUUACCCAUAUUUUUUCGCCGCUUUCGGGCCUUCCACUGGGAUGCUUUGCCGCCUAAUGUGCUGAACCUCCAUUGACCUCGAGUCCACGACCUGCAGCCCCAAUUUCCCCCACCCAGCAAAACAGUCCAAGGCAGAAAGCCAAGAACUAAAGCAAAAAAUUUAGCUAAUCUCCGCAGAGUUUGCAAAGGAGGCAAUUCUCCACCUUGCAGCAGUCACCAUUGACUGACUAGAACCUAGUUGUUCUCUCUUGGUACUCGUUGAAGAGAAUCAACAUCCAGCUCAACUUGUGACUGAGAGUAAGAGGUACAUUUCCAUUAUUUUUCUUCUUAAGUAGUAAUAUUUCUUUCUCCGGUGAUGAUUAUGUUGUAAUUGAUUGGUUGUUUUGAUAUUCUCUUGCUAAAUCUCUCACUGUGUUUCUUCGGGCAGUAAUAGAGAAUCUCUUUGUGCUCUUUUUGUUUUCAAAUUUCUUAACCUUAAUAUGAGCAGGAAAAUAAAUCACAACUUUUUUGGGGGAUAAAUAUUAGCGACUGUAUUGGGUAAUGGGUAUUAAUAUUUCGGUAUAAUUAAUAGUAUAUCUGCUUGAAAUUAUGACUUUGAAUUCUCUAAUGGUGAUUCUAAUUUGGAGUAUAGAAAUUCAAGUUUAAGUAGUCAAGCCUAUCCCUCAAUCCCUCGGAAGUUGCAAAUUGAAAUGUUGUUUUACAUUUAUGAUUUAUUUGAAAUAUUUGUUGUCUUAUUUGUGUGAAAUUUGGACUGAAAUUGUUGCUUACAUUUGUAUUAUUUGAUAAUAGUUGAUUUGUAUUAUUUACUGGGAUUGUUUUGUAUUUGAAAUUUGGACUAGAAUGAUUGUAUAAGUAUUCACUGGAAUGGCUGUAUAAGUAUUCUCGUAUGAACUAUGAAGUGGUAGAGUUCUUGUGAUUUAUGAUAUUGGAAAGGCACUCUAGUUUGGAUGUUUGUACAGGCCAUAAGUAAUUUCUGCAAUUCAAACUCUGCUAGGAUGAUUGUAUAGGCUGUAAUUGUUAUGUUAUCAGCUACUUAGAUUCAUCAUUUAUCCUUUCCUCUUGAAUUUGAGACAGCCGACUUGUGGAAUCCAAGGGGACUGCAUUAAAUUUGAACAGGUUUUUCCCUUUUUGAACAAGAGAGGAGAAAAAAAAGAAUUCCAAAUUUAAUUCGGUAUCGAAUUCAAAAUCAGAAUUGGCCAUUUCGAAAUCGAAUUCAGUCGGGAAAAUUCCAGUCAAAAUUUCGAAAAUUUCCGAUUUCAACUUUCGAAUUACCGCUUUCGAUUUCGAUGCACAGCCCUACAGUCAGUAUGUUCUUUGCGCUGCUUUGGUCUUCUUGCUUCCUCUACAAUUGCCGAAAUUGCCUGCCGUCUCUAAUUCCUUUUCCCCUUAAUGGCUUAACCCUAAUCCCUUCUCCAAACUCCAAACUCCAAUUUUGAUCCAUAGCAAUCAGCAAUGAAGUGUUUCUACUCACCGCACCGAUUCUAAGCCAAAAAAAAAAAACUCUGGAAUCAAUCACGGACAGUGAUCUAUGGAACCUGCCAUUUCCAUCAUAUUAACACCUUAUACCUUGCCUAUGAAAGUUAAGCAAACCAAAACCAUAUGCAACUACAUGAGGCAAAUACUUGGACUUUAAAAUGCAAAAAAAAUCAGAUAGCUGUCUAAUGUCAACCAACAAAGUUAGCAUAAAGUGAGAGAGACUAGAUGCUAUGGUGUUGUGGAGAAGAAAACAUUGAACAAACCUUUUGAAUUUCUUCUGUAAUUCAGCAUCCUGAGUAGCCACAAAGAAAUGCUCAGAAUUGUUUUCUCCAAUAAUAUCAGUUAUGCAACUGAUAGCACUCUUCUGUUUCUCAUGGUCACAUCUGAAUAAAAGGUUCAUCUAUGUUUCCUUACAAAAACAAACUAAAAGGAGAAAGAUGAUGCUACAUGAUCACUACUCAUUUUUGUACAAAAACUUUUUACAGAUGUUUGGUUGUAUAGGAGCCAAUUAGAAAAUCAAGUCAGUAGAACUUUAACUGUAUUUAAAAAACUUCCAAAACUCCUCAGAGAAGUAAGAGGCACGCAAGGAAAAACAAACCUUGCGGUUAACAGGUUACGAGCUGCAUUAAGAGAUUCAGCAUAGGAGUCACCAAGGCUUCUCAACUCGCCAAGAACACAUCUGAAACUAGGAGUGAAACCUUAAAUGAGUAGUUAACAAACAGGUUAUGCUCAUCAAACAUCUAGCACAUCAUACAGAACCACGUGAAAAGAACAACCUAGCAUUGAAAUCCUUUCAUUCAAAUGUAGGAGAUUAGGAUAAUCCAAUAUUUAGUUCACAAAGUGCUCUGAGAAAGAAUUAUUGCAUUUAACUUCCAUUUAAAGGGACAAGUCACUAUUUGCACAAACACAACUUGUUUUGUUGUAGGCAUCCAACCACCACCACCACAGUGAUGGACUUCAUCACAACCUAGAUCCAUAUCUACUAUACAAUCCCUUAAGGCCACCUGAGGAAGAAAAUAUAUAUCCUAUACCACCUUUAAUUUUGUACAAUUGACUGUCCUACAAGAGUACCAACCAAAUGCCUAUAAUCUGUACCACCAUUGCAUCAUCCCGCCAUUUUGUCACUUCUCAUGCCACCAGAAUGCAUAACAAAAAUGGUAAUAGAACUUCACUUUUGUGCCAAGAUAUCUUUAACUUGAAUUUUCAUUAAAAAAAAGGAUUAACUUUCUAUGUACUGACAUUGUAAUGAUUUUUUUUUUUUUUACACUACCAGCCUUGAAUGUAUGCCAAAUGUACAUUAUUUGAAUUUCAAAUUUGAAUUCACAUUAUGUGACAUGAUCUAAACCUGCUUGUGUAAAUAAAUCUUUACACCGACAGAGUAUGAAAAUGUUAUAUGAAAAAAAAGAUGCUAUGGCAACCCCCUUGGCAGUUGUUAUUAUGGCCCAAGUCACAGAUGCAACAGCACAAGUGUCAAGGAUGCUUUAAAUGCAUUUUCGCACAGUAGUACAAUGAAACCAUAAGCUAAUGAUUACCUUCAGCAGGAUGCAUUUUUAUCACCAUAAGUUCAAGUUUCUGUACCAUCACUAUCAAGAGUACUUCUUUACUCUACAAACUUCUAUUUUGGCUGAUAAUUAGAUUUCAGCACAACGCCUCAACUUUAAUACCAGAACUGUUUUUUGCACAAAUCCUAUAAGUGUCUAUGAUAUCUACAUAUUACCAAAAGUUACUCUCCAAAGAAUACGUUGUUACAAACAUCAAAAGGAAGUUUUCACUCUCUCCCUUUCUUCUUCUCCAUGUCUCUUUAUCUCAUCUAUAUUUCACAUGAAAACUCGGACCUUUUUUGGUUUUAAAGAUAUCUCCUUUCAGGUCCCUCGCUAACUAUAAUCUAUUCUGAUGUAAUUUAGUUACAACCAAAACUCACAAAAAAACAAUGUGAAUUUCUUCAGCUUACAAUUUCUUUUAGCCGCUUACCUUAACAGGGGGGAAAAAUAACAUAAGAAGCCACGGCUUGGAACACAGUUUUGAAAGUAUUACCAGAAAAUUAAAAAACUAACAAUGCAAGUCAUCUGAAAGAUUUUGUCUAAACUUUUUGUGCAGCAAAAGGAAGCCAUUAGACCUGGUAGUAAAAAUCUUUACUGGGGCACCUAAAGCAUUAGCCAACGCAGUAUCAGCAGGAGUGAUCUUAUUGAGAAGCAGGUGGUGCACAAAAGUUCCAUCACACAGAACUUUAAAAGGCUCCCUGAAACCAAAGCAAGCUGUAUAGAAUCUGAAAGCUUUUCGAUGGCGUUUCUGCUUCUUUACUCUCAUCUAUCAACAUCAAGAAAAUAAUGAAUCAACAUGAGAAUAUUGAUAACAAACAAGAAAAUUGAAAUCCAACCCAAAUUGUGAUUUUUCUGACUUAAGAUUUGCAGUAUAUUUUCUUAUGCACAAAAAAAGUUAGGUAAAAUUUUAACACUUGACUUCUGCAUUUCCUUAUGAAACUGUCCUGUAUGUCCAUUUAAUUAGUGUCCAAUAGAACUCGAGCUGAGGCAUUGCGGUGGCCUCAAGACUCACAGAAACAAGGGUAAAAAUGGCAUGCAAAUCUCUUAUAGUGUUUGACAUGCAGCAGUUUGAGUUAGAAGAAAAACUAAUAUUCCUCCAUUGUUUCUUUAGUGUAUCGUGGGAUCUAAUUCCACUUCCUCCAGCACUCACUAGACUGACUCGAGGAAGAGUUAAAACAACUUAGCAGCCAGUCAUUCAUCUAAAGUGUUUCAAGGUCUAAACUUCUACAACAAAAAUGUCCAUUAUUUACGUUACCCAGCACAAAAUCUAAGCUAAUAGUUUUAGUUCCCUUGAAUUAAAUCCAUCGACAUACAUACAAUAGCAUAACACACAAUGCCCAAAAGGGAUUACGUACAUUGCCAUUCAAAGUCAAAAAAAUCCAACUAAGAAACAAAACUACCAGUCCUUGAGCCAGAAUGGAAAAAAAAGAAGAAAAAAGAAAAAUCGACGAACCGAAAUAGCUUAAAACUUUGUCCUAGUUUAAUAACUAUUCGGAUGCAAUUAAAUAGCACAACUAAUUAUGAUUAUCUAGCUAAAGAAUUUUCCCAUCUAUUAAGUUGAGUGAAAGUAUACACCAUUAAACAACCCACCAACAUGAAAAUAUUCUUCAUUUGCCACGAAAGAGAGACAGGAAAAAAAGAAAGUGGAAUAUGAAUUCAAAAAUCAUGAAACCUCAGGCAGGCGACUAGUAUGGGAAAUUUAAUAUACACUAAUAACAGAAAUAUAUAAAGAUACCUGAAAAUAUUGCUAUCUAUGGACAGAUAGAUAUGGGUCGCCACCGUAAGGAAGACCAGAGAAGAAAGAAGAACAAAGGGGGAGGCUAUUUGCCCUUU
Molecule: long non-coding RNA, 5144 nt
Filed under: Coffea arabica (coffee)
Lineage: Eukaryota; Viridiplantae; Streptophyta; Magnoliopsida; Gentianales; Rubiaceae
Description: long non-coding RNA (CARA_LNC004997)
Source: RNAcentral